CAGUAGCCGCGGGAAUACGAACCGUGCGAACGUUAUUCGGAAUUACUGGGCUUAAAGCGCGUGUAGGCGGGCCGCCACGUCGGUUGCUGAAAUCCCCCGGCUCAACCGGGGAAGUGGCAUCGAUACGAGCGGCCUUGAGGGGGGUAGGGGGAUCUGGAACUUCCGGUGGAGCGGUGAAAUGCGUUGAGAUCGGAAGGAACGCCCGUGGCGAAGGCGAGGUCCUGGACCCUUUCUGACGCUGAGACGCGAAAGCCAGGGGAGCGAACGGGAUUAGAUACCCCAGUAGUCCCUGUCUCUUAUA
Molecule: ribosomal RNA, 301 nt
Filed under: uncultured bacterium
Lineage: Bacteria
Description: partial 16S ribosomal RNA
Rfam family: Bacterial small subunit ribosomal RNA
Source: RNAcentral